This 467-nucleotide ribosomal RNA is filed under the name uncultured bacterium. Its description in RNAcentral is "partial 16S ribosomal RNA". It matches the Rfam family "Bacterial small subunit ribosomal RNA", at positions 29 to 507 of the family's 1533-position model. The record is from RNAcentral.
ACGAACGCUGGCGGCGUGCUUAACACAUGCAAGUCGAACGGAAAGGCCCUGCUUUUGUGGGGUGCUCGAGUGGCGAACGGGUGAGUAACACGUGAGUAACCUGCCCUUGACUUUGGGAUAACUUCAGGAAACUGGGGCUAAUACCGGAUAGGAGCUCCUGCUGCAUGGUGGGGGUUGGAAAGUUUCGGCGGUUGAGGAUGGACUCGCGGCUUAUCAGCUUGUUGGUGGGGUAGUGGCUUACCAAGGCUUUGACGGGUAGCCGGCCUGAGAGGGUGACCGGCCACAUUGGGACUGAGAUACGGCCCAGACUCCUACGGGAGGCAGCAGUGGGGAAUAUUGUACAAUGGGCGGAAGCCUGAUGCAGCAACGCCGCGUGCGGGAUGACGGCCUUCGGGUUGUAAACCGCUUUCGCCUGUGACGAAGCGUGAGUGACGGUAAUGGGUAAAGAAGCACCGGCUAACUACGUG